Molecule: non-coding RNA, 244 nt
Organism: Pelobates cultripes (western spadefoot toad)
Lineage: Eukaryota; Metazoa; Chordata; Amphibia; Anura; Pelobatidae
Source: the annotation of a GenBank genome assembly
UAGGCGCAAAUGCAGUGGUUCGUUGAUUUGUACAUGAAAUGCAAUAAUGUCUAAGAAGCCUGUAGUACACCAAAAGAUCGGUAGGGGUCAGUGUGUAGGCGAAAAUGCAGUGGUUCGUUGGUUUGUACAUGAAAUGCAAUAAUGUCUAAGAAGCCUGUAGUACACCAAAAGACCGGUAGGGGUCAGUGUGUAGGCGAAAAAUUGUAUUUCGUUUGUAGUUUUAACCAAACAGAUUUUAACCGAA